This 255-nucleotide ribosomal RNA is filed under the name uncultured Pseudomonas sp. RNAcentral describes it as "partial 16S ribosomal RNA". It matches the Rfam family "Bacterial small subunit ribosomal RNA", at positions 96 to 355 of the family's 1533-position model. The record is from RNAcentral. Lineage: Bacteria; Pseudomonadati; Pseudomonadota; Gammaproteobacteria; Pseudomonadales; Pseudomonadaceae.
CGGCGGACGGGUGAGUAAUGCCUAGGAAUCUGCCUGGUAGUGGGGACAACGUUUCGAAAGGAACGCUAAUACCGCAUACGUCCUACGGGAGAAAGCAGGGGACCUUCGGGCCUUGCGCUAUCAGAUGAGCCUAGGUCGGAUUAGCUAGUUGGUGAGGUAAUGGCUCACCAAGGCGACGAUCCGUAACUGGUCUGAGAGGAUGAUCAGUCACACUGGAACUGAGACNCGGUCCAGACUCCUACGGGAGGCAGCAGC